GACGAACGCUGGCGGCGUGCUUAACACAUGCAAGUCGAACGGAAAGGCCCUGCUUUUGUGGGGUGCUCGAGUGGAACGGGUGAGUAACACGUGAGUAACCUGCCCUUGACUUUGGGAUAACUUCAGGAAACUGGGGCUAAUACCGGAUAGGAGCUACUGCUGCAUGGUGGGGGUUGGAAAGUUUCGGCGGUUGGGGAUGGACUGGCGGCUUAUCAGCUUGUUGGUGGGGUAGUGGCUUACCAAGGCUUUGACGGGUAGCCGGCCUGAGAGGGUGACCGGCCACAUUGGGACUGAGAUACGGCCCAGACUCCUACGGGAGGCAGCAGUGGGGAAUAUUGCACAAUGGGCGGAAGCCUGAUGCAGCAACGCCGCGUGCGGGAUGACGGCCUUCGGGGUGUAAACCGCUUUCGCCUGUGACGAAGCGUGAGUGACGGUAAUGGGUAAAGAAGCACCGGCUAACUACGUG
Molecule: ribosomal RNA, 466 nt
Filed under: uncultured bacterium
Lineage: Bacteria
Description: partial 16S ribosomal RNA
Rfam family: Bacterial small subunit ribosomal RNA
Source: RNAcentral